UUGAAUGGUGCAAUCUUUUUCUUUCUCUCUCUCUCUCUCUCUCUCUCUCUCUGUGUGUGUGUGUGUGAGAGAGAGAGAGAGAGAGAGAGAGGAGGAGGAGGAGGGAGAGGGAUUUGAAUG
This is a non-coding RNA of Podarcis lilfordi (Lilford's wall lizard), 120 nucleotides long. NCBI's taxonomy places the organism in Eukaryota, Metazoa, Chordata, Lepidosauria, Squamata, Lacertidae. The record is from the annotation of a GenBank genome assembly.